UGUGAUCAUUGAGCCAAACUAACUUGUGUAUUUCUGCUAUAAGAGUUGUUCUUUGAGCAGGUUUUGGUUCAGAGUCUCUUAUGAUGUGAAAUCUUCCUCCACAUGCGUUGAUCAUUUCUCCAGCAAUCCCUCUGGAGGCUCCUGUCAAAGGUUCCUGGUGAUUUUGGAGCAGAAGAACAAUGCAGUACUGCAGGACUUCUGCUCCCAGCAGCUCCUGGGCUCGUUUCUCAAUAUCACACUGUUGUGAUUGUUGAUCUUCCAGAUUCAGGACCAUUAGAACGGCGUGAGGUCCAGGAGACGAGAGAAACAGCGCUGUUGUGAAGGUCUGUCUCUCUGUGUCCUCCUCACAGAGGUUUGGUCCAGUGACCAGCAUCAUUCUACGAGCCCCGUCUGUAAUUACUGGAGUCUUUACAAUCUCUCUGUCCUCCUGUCCUCCGUCUUUCCUUCCUGACAGAAGAUCUGCAGCACUGAAUCUGGACUGACCUCUGACUCCCACAACCAGGAUCCUCAGAGCCUCAUCAUUAUCAUCAUCAUCAUCAUGAGAAGCUGAAAAGGAAAGUGAAACUAUCAUGCAAAGACAGAAAAUGGGAUAGGAAUGAUAUAUAUGGAAUGUAUACAGCUCACUAUUUAGGUUUGUACAUUAGCAUGGACUCAUUAACUUUAACUUUAGCUAGUUUUAGCCAGAGAUACCUUGCGGAUGAACAAGAUGACA
Long non-coding RNA from Cyprinus carpio carpio, 712 nucleotides. The record is from Ensembl. NCBI's taxonomy places the organism in Eukaryota, Metazoa, Chordata, Actinopteri, Cypriniformes, Cyprinidae.